CAAUGCAAAUUUCAGUCAUUUGGAGUUUUUCCUGAAAGCAUACCUUAAAAAUGGAAUCAGGACAUCAAAAUUAGCCAGGUAGGAGUGUCAAAUUUUUUGUUUUUGAUCUAGCAGUGAUGAUGUAGCGCUGAUGGAUGGCUAACGUGGCGAUGACAUGGCACUUUUUGUUGAUGUGGUGCUAUGUGACAGGUGACGUCAAUGAUGACUUGGCAGAGUAUACAAUAAAUCAGGUGCAGGCAAG
This 241-nucleotide unclassified non-coding RNA is filed under the name Hevea brasiliensis (rubber tree). Lineage: Eukaryota; Viridiplantae; Streptophyta; Magnoliopsida; Malpighiales; Euphorbiaceae. The record is from RNAcentral.